AAAGUUAUGCGGUAUAAUACAACGUAGGUCGACGAAAAAAGCGACAAGUAAAAACGCAUUAUUAGAUAUAGCUCGAAAAGUAGUUGUUAGAUCUCAAAUAAAUUUAAAUGGGACCAAUUGGCACACACCACCUUUCGAUUAAAAGAAAAUUUGUUGAAAUCGCUCCACCCAGUCAAAAGUUCUGAUGUAACAUACAUUAAAAAAAA
This 206-nucleotide unclassified non-coding RNA is filed under the name Melitaea cinxia (Glanville fritillary). Its description in RNAcentral is "misc RNA ENSMCXG00005001262.1". The record is from RNAcentral. Lineage: Eukaryota; Metazoa; Arthropoda; Insecta; Lepidoptera; Nymphalidae.